AACUUCAUAGUUUAAAAAAAAUAUUUAAUUUGCAAUUAAAAGAUAAAAAUUUUUAGAUUUA
This 61-nucleotide transfer RNA is filed under the name Bipalium admarginatum. RNAcentral's name for it is "tRNA-Ala". The record is from RNAcentral. Lineage: Eukaryota; Metazoa; Platyhelminthes; Tricladida; Geoplanidae.